Molecule: ribosomal RNA, 253 nt
Filed under: uncultured bacterium
Lineage: Bacteria
Description: partial 16S ribosomal RNA
Rfam family: Bacterial small subunit ribosomal RNA
Source: RNAcentral
UACGUAGGGGGCAAGCGUUGUCCGGAUUUAUUGGGCGUAAAGAGCGUGUAGGCGGCCAGGUAGGUCCGGUGUGAAAACUCGAGGCUCAACCUCGAGACGCCGAUGGAAACCAUCUGGCUAGAGUCCGGAAGAGGAGAGUGGAAUUCCCGGUGUAGCGGUGAAAUGCGCAGAUAUCGGGAAGAACACCCGUGGCUAAGGCGGCUCUCUAGUACGGUACUGACGCUGAGACGCGAAAGCGUGGGGAGCGAACAGG